UCCAACCUGAAAAACCAAGGAUAUAUGCCU
RNAcentral lists this non-coding RNA (30 nucleotides) under Mus musculus (house mouse). Lineage: Eukaryota; Metazoa; Chordata; Mammalia; Rodentia; Muridae. The record is from RNAcentral.